UCCUGGUUACCCAGGCAGUCCCAUCAGAGUGCUCCAUCACUGGAUAGCAACUGACAGCAGGGGUUGCGCUCGUUAUAGGACUUAACCAAACGUCUCACGACACGAGCUGACGACAGCCAUGCAGCACCUGUGUAUGCGUCCAAGGUUUCCCUUGGAAAACCGUGUUUCCACGGCGAGCACAUACAUGUCAAACCUAGGUAAGGUUCCUCGCGUAGUGUCGAAUUAAACCACAUGUUCCACCGCUUGUGCGGACCCCCGUCAAUUCCUUUGAGUUUUAAUCUUGCGACCGUACUCCCCAGGCGGAUCACUUAACGCGUUAGCUUCGAUACUGAGACUGCAAGCAGUCCCAACAUCCAGUGAUCAUCGUUUACAGCGUGGACUAC
This 383-nucleotide unclassified non-coding RNA is filed under the name uncultured bacterium. RNAcentral describes it as "contains 16S-23S intergenic spacer region". The record is from RNAcentral.